UACGUAGGGUGCGAGCGUUGUCCGGAAUUAUUGGGCGUAAAGAGCUCGUAGGCGGUUUGUCGCGUCGGGAGUGAAAACCCAGGGCUUAACCCUGGGCUGGCUUUCGAUACGGGCAGACUAGAGGUAUGCAGGGGAGAACGGAAUUCCUGGUGUAGCGGUGAAAUGCGCAGAUAUCAGGAGGAACACCGGUGGCGAAGGCGGUUCUCUGGGCAUUACCUGACGCUGAGGAGCGAAAGUGAGGGGAGCGAACAGG
Molecule: ribosomal RNA, 253 nt
Filed under: uncultured bacterium
Lineage: Bacteria
Description: partial 16S ribosomal RNA
Rfam family: Bacterial small subunit ribosomal RNA
Source: RNAcentral